UUCUUAGUGGCGAACGGGUGAGUAACGCGUGGGCAACCUGCCCUCUAGAUGGGGACAACAUCCCGAAAGGGGUGCUAAUACCGAAUGUGACAGCAAUCUCGCAUGAGGAUGCUGUGAAAGAUGGCCUCUAUUUAUAAGCUAUCGCUAGAGGAUGGGCCUGCGUCUGAUUAGCUAGUUGGUGGGGUAACGGCCUACCAAGGCGAUGAUCAGUAGCCGGUCUGAGAGGAUGAACGGCCACAUUGGGACUGAGACACGGCCCAGACUCCUACGGGAGGCAGCAGUAGGGAAUCUUCCGCAAUGGGCGAAAGCCUGACGGAGCAAUGCCGCGUGAGUGAUGAAGGAAUUCGUUCCGUAAAGCUCUUUUGUUUAUGACGAAUGUGCAGAUUGUAAAUAAUGAUCUGUAAUGACGGUAGUAAACGAAUAAGCCACGGCUAACUACGUGCCAGCAGCCGCGGUAAUACGUAGGUGGCGAGCGUUGUCCGGAAUUAUUGGGCGUAAAGAGCAUGUAGGCGGUUUUUUAAGUCUGGAGUGAAAAUGCGGGGCUCAACCCCGUAUGGCUCUGGAUACUGGAAGACUUGAGUGCAGGAGAGGAAAGGGGAAUUCCCAGUGUAGCGGUGAAAUGCGU
Molecule: ribosomal RNA, 625 nt
Filed under: uncultured bacterium
Lineage: Bacteria
Description: bacterial SSU rRNA
Rfam family: Bacterial small subunit ribosomal RNA
Source: RNAcentral